This 397-nucleotide ribosomal RNA is filed under the name uncultured bacterium. Its description in RNAcentral is "partial 16S ribosomal RNA". It matches the Rfam family "Bacterial small subunit ribosomal RNA", at positions 523 to 918 of the family's 1533-position model. The record is from RNAcentral.
AUACGCAGGGGGCGAGCGUUGUCCGGAAUGAUUGGGCGUAAAGGGCGCGUAGGCGGCCCGGUAAGUCUGGAGUGAAAGCCCGGUUUUUAAGAUGGGAAUUGCUUUGGAAACUGUCGGGCUUGAGUGCAGGAGAGGAAAGUGGAAUUCCCAGUGUAGGGGUGAAAUGCGUAGAGAUUGGGAGGAAAACCAGUGGCGAAGGCGACUUACUGGACUGUAACUGACGCUGAGGCGCGAAAGUGUGGGGAGCAAACAGGAUUAGAUACCCUGGUAGUCCACACUGUAAACGAUGAAUGCUAGGUGUAGGGGGUAUCGACCCCUUCUGUGCCGCAGUCAACACAAUAAGCAUUCCGCCUGGGGAGUACGGCCGCAAGGUUGAAACUCAAAUGAAUUGACGGGG